Molecule: non-coding RNA, 115 nt
Organism: Triticum aestivum (bread wheat)
Lineage: Eukaryota; Viridiplantae; Streptophyta; Magnoliopsida; Poales; Poaceae
Source: Rfam
AAAGUACUCCCUUCGUCCCAAAAUUCUUGUCUUAGAUUUGUCUAGAUACAGUAUUUUGAUACAUCUGUAUCUAGACAAAUCUAAGACAAGAAUUUUGGGACGGAGGGAUUAGUUG